RNAcentral lists this ribosomal RNA (2018 nucleotides) under metagenome. Its description in RNAcentral is "bacterial LSU rRNA". It matches the Rfam family "Bacterial large subunit ribosomal RNA", at positions 831 to 2856 of the family's 2925-position model. The record is from RNAcentral.
AAUCGAACUCGGAGAUAGCUGGUUCUCCCCGAAAUAGCUUUAGGGCUAGCGUCGAGGUAAAGUCGUGUGAAGGUAGAGCACUGAAUAUGUGAUGGCCCCAUCUCGGGGUACUGAACAUAAUCAAACUCCGAAUGUCACAAAGAUAUACUCGGCAGUCAGACAGUGGGUGAUAAGGUCCAUUGUCAAAAGGGAAACAGCCCAGACCAUCAGCUAAGGUCCCAAAAUAUAUACUAAGUGGAAAAGGAUGUGGAGAUGUCCAGACAACUAGGAGGUUGGCUCAGAAGCAGCCAUCCUUUAAAGAGUGCGUAACAGCUCACUAGUCGAAUGACUCUGCGCCGAUAAUUUACCGGGGCUAAGUAUAUUACCGAAGCUAUGGAUUUACGCGUAAGCGUGAGUGGUAGGGGAGCGUUCUAUGUGCGGAGAAGCGGUACCGUAAGGAGCCGUGGAGCGCAUAGAAGAGAGAAUGCCGGUGUGAGUAGCGAAACGUGGGUGAGAAUCCCACGCACCGAAAACCCAAGGUUUCCAGAGGAAGGUUCGUCCGCUCUGGGUAAGUCGGGACCUAAGGCGAGGCCGAGAGGCGUAGUCGAUGGACAACAGGUAGAGAUUCCUGUACUUACGGUAUGAAUGAUGGAGUGACGGAGAAGGCUAGCGGAUCCUGCUGAUGGAAAUGCAGGUGCAAGCGAGGUAGCCGACAGCCAGGCAAAUCCGGCUGUCGAAAGGCAAAGGCGUGAGGCGUAUGGAAAGCUGCGGCAAGUACAGAAGUCCGUGAAGCCAGCUUCCAAGAAAAGCUUCUAGUGAUAAUCAUACAGUAACCCGUACCGAAAAUGGACACACAUGGGUGAGGAGAGAAUCCUAAGGUGAGCGAGAGAACUAUAGCUAAGGAACUCUGCAAAAUGACUCCGUAACUUAGGGAUAAGGAGUGCUCAUAGAGAUAUGAGCCGCAGUGAAACGGCCCAAGCGACUGUUUACCAAAAACACAGCUCUAUGCUAAGUCGAAAGACGACGUAUAUGGGGUGACGCCUGCCCGGUGCUGGAAGGUUAAGAGGAUGUGUCAGCGCAAGCGAAGCAUUGAAUUGAAGCCCCAGUAAACGGCGGCCGUAACUAUAACGGUCCUAAGGUAGCGAAAUUCCUUGUCAGGUAAGUUCUGACCCGCACGAAAGGCGUAACGAUUUGGGCGCUGUCUCAGCUGUAGACUCGGUGAAGUCUUAGUACCUGUGAAGAUGCAGGUUACCCGCGACUAGACGGAAAGACCCCAUGGAGCUUUACUGUAGCUUGAUAUUGGACUUUGAUGCAAGAUGUACAGGAUAGGUAGGAGACUGAGAGACAUGCACGCCAGUGUGUGAGGAGUCAAUGUUGGGAUACUACUCUUCUUGUAUUGGAGUUCUAACCGGAUGCCAUGGAACUGGCAACGGGACAGUGUCAGGUGGGCAGUUUGACUGGGGCGGUCGCCUCCCAAAGAGUAACGGAGGCGCCCAAAGAUACCCUCAGCUUGGAUGGAAAUCAAGCGCAGAGUGCAAAGGCAUAAGGGUGUUUGACUGCGAGACCUACAAGUCGAGCAGGGACGAAAGUCGGGCUUAGUGAUCCGGCGGUGCUGAAUGGAAAGGCCGUCGCUCAACGGAUAAAAGCUACCCUGGGGAUAACAGGCUGAUCUCCCCCAAGCGUCCACAGCGACGGGGAGGUUUGGCACCUCGAUGUCGGCUCGUCACAUCCUGGGGCUGUAUUCGGUCCCAAGGGUUCGGCUGUUCGCCGAUUAAAGUGGCACGCGAGCUGGGUUCAGAACGUCGUGAGACAGUUCGGUCCCUAUCUGUUGCGGGCGUAAGAGAUUUGAAGGGAGCUGUCCUUAGUACGAGAGGACCGGGAUGGACGUACCUCUGGUGCACCAGUUGUCCUGCCAAGGGCAUAGCUGGGUAGCUAUGUACGGACGAGAUAAACGCUGAAGGCAUCUAAGCGUGAAACUCCCCCUAAGAUUAGAUCUCUCAUUCGAAAGAAGUAAGGCACGACGUAGACUAUGUCGUUGA